Molecule: ribosomal RNA, 405 nt
Filed under: uncultured bacterium
Lineage: Bacteria
Description: bacterial SSU rRNA
Rfam family: Bacterial small subunit ribosomal RNA
Source: RNAcentral
UGGGGAAUAUUGCACAAUGGGGGAAACCCUGAUGCAGCGACGCCGCGUGAGUGAAGAAGUAUUUCGGUAUGUAAAGCUCUAUCAGCAGGGAAGAAAAUGACGGUACCUGACUAAGAAGCCCCGGCUAACUACGUGCCAGCAGCCGCGGUAAUACGUAGGGGGCAAGCGUUAUCCGGAUUUACUGGGUGUAAAGGGAGCGUAGGUGGCAUGGUAAGCCAGAAGUGAAAACCCAGGGCUCAACUCUGCGGAUUGCUUUUGGAACUAUCAGGCUGGAGUGCUGGAGGGGUAAGCGGAAUUCCUAGUGUAGCGGUGAAAUGCGUAGAUAUUAGGAGGAACACCGGUGGCGAAGGCGGCUUACUGGACAGAAACUGACACUGAGGCUCGAAAGCGUGGGGAGCAAACAGG